Molecule: ribosomal RNA, 637 nt
Filed under: uncultured bacterium
Lineage: Bacteria
Description: bacterial SSU rRNA
Rfam family: Bacterial small subunit ribosomal RNA
Source: RNAcentral
GCUUAACCGAAGAAGUGCAUCGGAAACUGGGUGACUUGAGUGCAGAAGAGGACAGUGGAACUCCAUGUGUAGCGGUGGAAUGCGUAGAUAUAUGGAAGAACACCAGUGGCGAAGGCGGCUGUCUGGUCUGCAACUGACGCUGAGGCUCGAAAGCAUGGGUAGCGAACAGGAUUAGAUACCCUGGUAGUCCAUGCCGUAAACGAUGAGUGCUAGGUGUUGGAGGGUUUCCGCCCUUCAGUGCCGGAGCUAACGCAUUAAGCACUCCGCCUGGGGAGUACGACCGCAAGGUUGAAACUCAAAGGAAUUGACGGGGGCCCGCACAAGCGGUGGAGCAUGUGGUUUAAUUCGAAGCUACGCGAAGAACCUUACCAGGUCUUGACAUCUUGCGCUAACCUAAGAGAUCAGGCGUUCCCUUCGGGGACGCAAUGACAGGUGGUGCAUGGUCGUCGUCAGCUCGUGUCGUGAGAUGUUGGGUUAAGUCCCGCAACGAGCGCAACCCUUGUUACUAGUUGCCAGCAUUCAGUUGGGCACUCUAGUGAGACUGCCGGUGACAAACCGGAGGAAGGUGGGGAUGACGUCAGAUCAUCAUGCCCCUUAUGACCUGGGCUACACACGUGCUACAAUGGUCGGUACAACG